GAGACCGUGUAUGUGCACGUGUCUGUGAGUGUGUGUGUGUGUGUGUGUGUGUGCGUGCACGCACAUGCUACCAGAACAGCGGCCUUUGCUCAGG
Molecule: microRNA precursor, 94 nt
Filed under: Tursiops truncatus (common bottlenose dolphin)
Lineage: Eukaryota; Metazoa; Chordata; Mammalia; Artiodactyla; Delphinidae
Description: miRNA (ENSTTRG00000021989.1)
Source: RNAcentral